Long non-coding RNA from Pristis pectinata (smalltooth sawfish), 655 nucleotides. RefSeq lists it as uncharacterized. The transcript is spliced from 3 exons. Lineage: Eukaryota; Metazoa; Chordata; Chondrichthyes; Rhinopristiformes; Pristidae. The record is from RefSeq and is a predicted model, not a curated record.
GCUUAAACACGGGGCGGGGGCUGGCAAAGGACAUUUUCUUGGGUCCCACAUCAUGCCUUGGAUCACUGGCAGGCGUGGAGUUUAUUUUGACCAAGCAGGAUGCCUAGUGCCUGUGGAGCUGUGUAUCAGAUCAUCUGGAAUCAAAUUUAGUGGCUGAGAGAUUAUUCAGAACAGUUAAGGAAGCUCACAAGAAGCAAGCAUUGUAGGAGGCAACAGGGGAAGCUACAGAUAAAAGGACCCCUGGACUGGAUGAACAAAUCACGGAGAUAAGCGCAUGGAAUAUACAGAAUCCCAUCAAUACAGGCUUACACAUGCUUCUGUUGUGGGAACUGGCAUGUAUCAAUGCUGUUGCAAACAAGUUUUUCAUUGUACCUGUACCUCAUCAUACUUGUGCAUAUGACCUUUGACUUUGGCUGAAGGUUACUUUAAGAAUAGCUGAACUGGAUAGGUAGAUACACAUAUACGUUCUAUGUAACAGGCAUGAUGGACAACAUGAAUAUCUACUUAUUGAUUACCAAGGAAGUGCUCCUCAGUUGGAAACCAAUAAAUUGGUGCCUUCUUAUAGCUCAUUUUGUUCAUCAAUAUGGGCAUUUUUCAGCAAUAAUGGCAUCUGCCCAACAAAUGUGUCAGUGAGGAUAGAUAAUGAGUUCUUCAG